Molecule: ribosomal RNA, 473 nt
Filed under: uncultured bacterium
Lineage: Bacteria
Description: bacterial SSU rRNA
Rfam family: Bacterial small subunit ribosomal RNA
Source: RNAcentral
ACUCCUACGGGAGGCAGCAGUGGGGAAUAUUGCACAAUGGGCGCAAGCCUGAUGCAGCCAUGCCGCGUGUAUGAAGAAGGCCUUCGGGUUGUAAAGUACUUUCAGCAGUGAGGAAGGUGGUAGUGUUAAUAGCACUAUCAUUUGACGUUAGCUGCAGAAGAAGCACCGGCUAACUCCGUGCCAGCAGCCGCGGUAAUACGGAGGGUGCGAGCGUUAAUCGGAAUUACUGGGCGUAAAGCGCAUGCAGGUGGUUUGUUAAGUCAGAUGUGAAAGCCCGGGGCUCAACCUCGGAAUUGCAUUUGAAACUGGCAGACUAGAGUACUGUAGAGGGGGGUAGAAUUUCAGGUGUAGCGGUGAAAUGCGUAGAGAUCUGAAGGAAUACCAGUGGCGAAGGCGGCCCCCUGGACAAAGACUGACGCUCAGAUGCGAAAGCGUGGGGAGCAAACAGGAUUAGAUACCCUGGUAGGCAAGCG